Triticum aestivum (bread wheat) is the source of this 184-nucleotide long non-coding RNA. RefSeq lists it as uncharacterized. NCBI's taxonomy places the organism in Eukaryota, Viridiplantae, Streptophyta, Magnoliopsida, Poales, Poaceae. The record is from RefSeq and is a predicted model, not a curated record. The transcript is spliced from 3 exons.
AGAGCAAGGAAACAUUUCUCGAUGACAGGGAGAUGCAACCAUCAUACAAACGUCCUGCUGUGGAUAAGAACAAUGAGUCUUUCAUCCACGAUGAAAAUGUGCAACAAGAGAAGGAAAACACCAGUGCAGAUAAGAGCAAGGAAAACUUUCUCUAUGACAUGGAGAUGCAACCAUCAAACAAACG